RNAcentral lists this ribosomal RNA (497 nucleotides) under uncultured bacterium. RNAcentral describes it as "partial 16S ribosomal RNA". It matches the Rfam family "Bacterial small subunit ribosomal RNA", at positions 28 to 507 of the family's 1533-position model. The record is from RNAcentral.
GAUGAACGCUGGCGGCGUGCCUAAUACAUGCAAGUCGAGCGAACAGACGAGGAGCUUUCUCCUGUGACGUUUGCGACGGACGGGGCAGUAACACGUGGAUAACCUAGCUAGAAGACUGGGAUAACUUCGGGAAUCCGGAGCUAAUACGGGAUAAUAUAUUUAACGGCAUUGUUCAAGAGUAAAAGAGGUUUUUGCAGGCACUAAUAGAUGGAUCCGCGCCUCAUUAUCUAGAUGGUAAGGUAACGGUUUACCAAGGCAACGAUGCGUAGCCGAACUGAGAGGGUGAUCAGCAACCCUGGAACUGAGACACGGUCCAGACUCCUACGGGAGGCAGCAGUCGGGAAUCUUCCGCAAUGGGCGAAAGCGUAACGGAGCAACGCCGCGUGAGUGAUGAAGGUCUUCGGAUCGUAAAAGUCUGUUAUUAGGGAAGAACAAAUGUGUAAGUUACUAUGCACGUCUUGACGGUACCUAAUCAGAAAGCCACGGCUAACUCCGUG